AACAGAGAUCCUCAGUAAGUGUGUCGGUCACCUCUUCGCGCGAGCAGGGAGAUCAGAUCGAGAGCAGGACCUCCUCGCCAGUGAUUUGGAAUGAUAAAUGGGGAAGAGAAGGGGGUGAAGUUACCUGGGCGCUCAGGUAGACUUUGAGGCACUCCUCGCACACGGCCUUCUUGCAGCAAGGCAGGGGCUUGAUGGGCUUGUCUUCCAGGCACACCCGGCACAUCAGCACCAUGAGGGGCACAUAGGGAUCCCCUACACCGCCCAGGCCAGAGUAGGGUGGAGCUCCCAACAGGCUGGGCAUGGAGAACGGCUCGGGCGCCAGGUAGAACUCCAGCUCGAUGCUGCCGCCGUCGGGGGAGAGGGAAUCCGUUGGGAGGGACAGUCGGGGGCUGGGGAAGGAAGAGCGGGUGCUGGGAGGGUUCAACACUGGCGGAGCCCCAGGUGGCGACGCGGGCGGCGAGAGCUGCUCCGAGGCGGGGGCCUCGGGCAGGUCGCUCUCCACGCAGUACACGGAGCAGAAGACUUGUCUCUUGGCGAGGGACGGGCGCCGCUGACCCAGCACGUCCAGGACCAGUCCGUCGGCGGCCCCCACGCGGGUCCUGGGCUCCAGCUCUUCGCCGGGGGGCGCCUCCUGCUGUUCAUCCCCUCCCUCUUUUCGAUCCCCAGCUUCCUCCUCUUCCUCCUCCAGCUCCAACUGCAGUGGCAAGGUCUGGGGAUUGAGAGGCCCGGCAUGACUAAGAGAUAUCGUGAAAUUACAACUCAACAAUGAAUUACAGCACAGGCUUUUCACAACUAAGAGACUGUCCAUCAUGGUGCCAGUUUUUCUCAAAAUGGCAUGUGUGCAUGAAAUUCUACAGGCAUAUGGGGUCGUGAUCUGCUAAUCUCCAGUUAUUAUAACUACUUUGAAAAGGGACUUUCCAGCUAUCAGUACACUAUCUCACAAUUACCCUUGAACCAGAAGACAAUGAAUGAUUUGCUAAACAGAUGGCAUAGUCUAUGACAUGCAUCAUAUGUGUGAGCAAUCACAGAAGACUCCUUCCUGUUGCCUUGUGAAGAAGGCUCCUGCUUCCCCUUCACCUUCUGCGCGAUUGUAAGUUUCCUGAGGCCUCCUAGCCAUGCUUCUUGUUCACUCUGCGGAACUGUCCUGAGCUGAAAAGAAUAUGAGAAAUCGGAUUUUACGACAUGGUUAUAGGCGGAAGGGAUUUGCCUUGUCUCAGAUGAGACUUUGGACUGUGGACUUUUGAGGUAAUCCUAGAAUGAGUUAAAACUUUGGGGGAUUGUUGGGAAGGCAUGAUUGUUUUUGAAAUGUAAGGACAUGAGAUUUGGGAGGGGCCAGAAGUGGAAUGAUAUAGUUUGGCUGUGUCCCCACCCAAAUCUCAUAUUGUAUUGCAGCUCUCAUAAUCCCCAUGUGUCAUGGGAGGAACCAGGUAGGAGGUAAUAGGAUCAAUGGGGCAGGUUUUUCCCAUGCUGUUCUUGUAAUAGUGAAUAAGUCUCAUGAGAUCUGACAGUUUUAGAAAGGGCAGUUCCCCCUGCACAUGCUCUCUUGCCUGCUCCCAUGUAAGACGUGCCUUUGCUCCUCCUUUGCCUUCUGCCAUGAUUGUGAG
This 1604-nucleotide long non-coding RNA is filed under the name Homo sapiens (human). RNAcentral describes it as "non-protein coding RNF217-AS1:8". The record is from RNAcentral. Lineage: Eukaryota; Metazoa; Chordata; Mammalia; Primates; Hominidae.